This is a non-coding RNA of Oryctolagus cuniculus (rabbit), 6962 nucleotides long. The record is from RefSeq and is a predicted model, not a curated record. Lineage: Eukaryota; Metazoa; Chordata; Mammalia; Lagomorpha; Leporidae.
GUGGAUGAGACGUUUGUAACAUUUCUGAGGCCACUCAAGGAUCCUAUAUGGUCUGAUGAAAGGCACAGAUCUCGCCUACCUCCCCCCCACACACACACUCAGAAAACAACGUACUCACCAAACUGCACAAUUUCAGCCUUCAGACCCGUCAGACCCCCGGUUAAGAAUGCUUAUUUGACUGGUUAAAGGAAAAGAGCUGGAGUUUAGACCAUGCUAAGACAAAUAGGGUCGGUUUACGGAGGUAGUUACUCUGUUCCUUUGGCUCAUCUCCUGGUGUUGGCCCAGCCAGCCUUACCUCUCACCACCACAUGUAGGGUAUGGUGUCCCAGUGAGUGUCCCUUGUUCCUCCCCAGGACCAGGGGCCUUGAGAAAGUGGAAAGAGCUUUGCUGGGGAAAGUCCAUCUCCCACUGGCCGGCGUUGGGACCGGCUACAGCUGGGAAGCUGGGCUCAGGCAGCCUCCCAGGGACUAAAACCCACACCGGAACUCCUGGGAAGGGAGGGUUAUCCAGAGACAAUGCCCACAGCUAUGACUGUCCGUGAGCCCAGCAAGUGGGGACCCAGCAACAGAAUGCUCCUUUGUUUCCUUAUGGAUCCACCUAUGGGUUUCCUUGGGGACCCCCACUCUGCAUGGGGCUGAGGACUCAGCCAAGGGUGGAGGUGAGGAAUACCAACCUCGAUGCUGAAAGGGGGGAUUUUAUCCCCAGACAUUUUGUAGGAGCCAAGCAGCAGGUGGCCAGUGACAAUCCGGGGUUGGGGGGCCCUUUUACUUCUGCCCCUCAUUCUGUAUUGUGGCUUGUUUUGAUGCAGCCAGAGCAGGAGGAUUUAACUGUUCUUUCUCAGCCUUGUAAACUGACCAAGUUAGGUCACCCAGAAGAAAAGUUAGGCUUCUGUGUGGUCUGAGAAGUCAACAGACUUCCUUUUUCUUAGGACUUUGUUCAGAUACAUUAGGGAAACUGGGAGUUCCCUGGCUGAUUGUACCCUGCCCAUCCACAAACACAACCACAGCAACUGCCCGCCCUCCCAGCGGCUCCUCAGUUGUCCACGCCCAUCAGACAGGCACUAACCUGCUUCUGGUUGCCCCCUUCCAAGCGGGCACAACUGCCACCCACCAGCCCCACAGUUCUGAGCUGAGACAAGAAGCCGAUGGUUGGCUAAUGGCAUUCAGACCCCUGCCUGAAAAUAAAAAGAAAAAAAAUAAAUAAUUUUCUGCUUGGGACAGCUUAAACUGAAUAAUUCUAGCUGUGACAACAUGACCUAAAUGCUUUUAAUCAGAGCAGAAGAAAUAUAUGCCCAUUUGCUCUCCACUUUACUAAUUAAAGACAGCUAAUUGGUGUUGUCGGGAAUUUCCGACUGAGGGUCAGGAGCCUCUAGUUGUUUCUUUGCCCCUCCUCUUUAUGUCCCAGCCCUUCCCCCACCGGGCCGUCCCCACCGUGGAGUUGGCCUCUUUCCCGUAGACAAUGGGGGGGGGGGCAUCCUCUGGCUCCGCCCCUGCAACUGGGACUUUGGCCCUGAAAAGGAAAUCCUGCUAUUGGCCAGAAGUUCUGGCUCCGCAGGGCUGUCCCCCUUUGCUUGUCCCUGGACUUGCUUCUGAGAGCCCAGACAUGGCCUAGGCUGCCGAGUCAGCACCGGCAGCUGGUGGGGUGCAGCUCCUGCUGGAGCCCCAGAGCUCUGCUCAGUGCUGGGCACUCGGUAGGCGCAGGAAGUGUUUGUUGAUUAAGGAAUCAAAGUGAUCACCAGGCAAAGGCUGUGACUUGCUAGGGAGUCUCUGGGGCCGGUGCUUGCAAAGCUCCAUGGCCUCCUGGCACUUUAGGAGAUGUGCAAAACUAGCUUUUUGUCAAGAUUUUCUGAGUUGUUCUAGUUAAUUCCAGCUUUCUGGGUCUCUUAUGUCUUCAUUUUCUGAGGCAGCACCCUGCCUACUCCAGCAAAGGAAAGGGCUCACCGAGAAGCCAAAUGAAUAUAUGCUUCCACUCCCCAGAUACUGCAGGCUAAAGGGAGUUUGAACCUGAAAUGAGCCAGAUAAUUGCUCCAAUUCUCUGUUUCUUAUUGAAAAGGUAGUUACAAGCCAAGGGGUUCAAGGGGCCUCACUUUGAUGGACAUUGCUCUAAGUCAAAAGAAUACAUUAGACAUACGCAGACUGAGCUGCACACCCUCUAGCCAAAACAGGCUCACGCCGCCACCGCCGCUGCCUCCUCUUCCCCCUCCUCCUCUUCCCCCUCCUCUUUGUCAUUGAUAGUUAGCAUUUACUAAAAGCUCCCAAGUCCUUGUGCUAAAUCCUAGACCCGUAGUACACUAACUAAUCCUUACAACAGCCUGAAGAGUUGAGACAUUCCGAUUUUUGCAGUUAAAGAGUCAAGAAUCAUUUUUCGGUCAGAAGUGUGUGUGUGUGUGUGUGUGUGUGUGUGCGCGCGCACAAGGUUAGCGUGACGGUAGCAGAUCUGAAUGCUCUAGUGGUAUAAUGAAAACUGAGAUGAGAAGAUCUGCAAGUUUUGAAAUAUAGAAUGCUUUCAUAGAAUGCAGCCAGUUUCUCCCGCCCUAAAGUGAACAAAGAAGUGAGGCAAUUAGCUGGCUAAUUCCAGCACCCAAAUGCUUUCCCUUGAAACGGCCGGAUAAUGAGGCCGACAGUAUGUUCGCAGUUGAAUUCGCCUGAUGUUGCUCCAUUCCCCCUCCCUGACUUUUUGCGCAUGCAUUGGGCAAUCACAGCGAGACGCGCAGACGCCACGUGGACGUGCACGCACGCACUCACGCGCAGGAAUGCUGACACACACAGACCCGACUGUAUUCUGCCUCCAGAGUCUUUUAUGACUCAGCCUCGGGAGUGAAAAUAGGGUUUGGAGCGAAAUAAUGCGCCCAGGGCCGGCGAGGGCGCAGCUGCUCCAGAUGUGCGCCGGGUGGACAGCGCGUCCUCCGGCCCUGCUUCGCCGCUUUUAGUAGCUGCUCUGAUCUUAGGACUAAGUCACAGGGCGCCCACGGCGACGCGCCGGCGGCCAGCGCCAGGCCGAGCCCAGUGCGCCUGCAGGACCCGGCCCCUUCUCCCGGCGCGGGACGCGGAGCUGCGCGAAGGUCCGGUCUGCGCGGACUCGACGCCAGGGCGCCGCCUAGAGGUUGGCCGCCGCCUCGGCCUCACCCUCCGGCGACCACGGAGCUGCUCCCCCUGCCGCCGCCAGACACUGGGGCGGGGGAGGUGGGGGGAGUCCAGUUUGGGUUCCAGAGACUGGGCUCCUGGCACCUUUGACUUCUCCGAGACCGCCUCCUCUCCGCCGCGUAAUGAAUCCCAGGAAGGGAGCGGGGCCAGGAAGUCCCAGAAGUCUUUAUUCUUGUGACUCUCAGGAACGGAAAAGGGUCACCAUUCGGUUUCUGGAAGGAUCUGGUCGGAGCCUACGCUGCCCCCUCUCACCCUCCAAAUUGUCCGGUCCCCUACAAUUUAUGCUGCGUUACCUUCAAGGAAGAAAGCGAGGAAGGAGAAGCUUUUUCCUAAAUCUUACAGCAUUGCCCGUCGAUCUUCUGAAUAAUUUGGAGAUCAGUUUGCUUUGGGGAAAAGUAUUUGGAAAACACUUGGGUGUGAACAGAAGCGGUGCCUAAAAUGGCCCUUUGCUCACCUCAGAGGCCAGCCCAGCCAGAGCCUGGGAGAUGGCCAGGAGGGCACCUGCUGGCACCAGCACCCUGUUGGUGUGGUUCACCUGAGCGUUUCAAAGUUGACUUUGAAGACAGCUGGCCUUGGAGGGAAUGAGUUACAGGUGUCCUUCGGUCCUACACCGAGUUUUUUUUUUUUUUUUUGAACUGAGAUUCAAGGCCUGAGUUCUAGGGUUAGUUGGGGGGGGGGGGGGCACAAAAGGCCUGAAAUGUAUGCAGAUUGUGUGUGUGUGCAGGUGCAUCGUUCUAAGGCCCUGGUCUCUUCCGCUUUUACAAAAAGUCUAAGACUGUGAAAUGACACAAUCCCUCUUGCUCAGCGAGGGAACCACAGAGAUCCAGGCCCACAGUGAGUAGGGAGCCAGCCACUGACCUGUCCCGGCUGCAGGCCCCCCACCAGGCAUCCAAGAAGGGGAUGUAUAACAGCCCUGGACGCUCUGGAAGCCGCUGGUCCCACACUACUGCCCUGCACCUGUCCCUACCGGCUUGGAUCAUGGAGGCAAACCCUGAUAGAAGAGGUGGCAACCACUGGCUGCCACCUCAGUCAGUGUUUUAAAUAAAAAUAUAGCCUGACAGAGAGCAAAAUGAGGAUGCCGGGCCACAGCCCGAGAACAGGAGCCAGAGGGCUUCCCCUUGCAAGCCCUGGCAUGCGAACGGGGCAUGGCAUCAGGAUAUUUCCUGUCUUCCUGCUGUUAAAGAGCCCCCCUCCUUCCUGCUUCCUGGUGCCAGGAGGGGGCCGGAGGGUACCUCCCCACUGCACCAGUCUCGUCUCUGGCCAGACUGGUCAGGGUAACACCGCCUGCAGCAAAGUGAGCCUGGCAGCAUGUUUGGAAACUGCACGAACCGGCCUAGUAUUUUCCCUGCCCGUUCCAUUUUUUAAAAAACCUUCAGCAGUGUGUUGGUACUUUUUCAUGGCGGAGGGGAGGGUUGACUGGAUUAGGGCUGCACCUGUGUGUGUGUGUGUGUGUGUGUGUGUGUGUGUCUUUAGGAAGGGGGGGUGCACCGACUCCUCAAGCUGGGCUCAGCCCUGUACCUGGGCCCUGCGUGAGUCGGAGCUAACCUUUGUCCUGCAGCUCAGCCCUGAGUCCUGGUGUUUAGGGGUCAGUAAUAACUGAGGCAGAAUUGAAUCUUCUUCGCUGUCUUACCCAGGCGCCUAAGGCAGACAAAGGAGCAGGAAGUCAGGAAGUCAGGAAGUCGGUCACUUUGCUCCCAGGUCUCCGGAAUCCAAAGAGAAAAGAAACGUGUCUCAGGUUGGGUUUGCAGUGGCCUAAAGCGAAUCCCCAAGACCCAAAGUUUUGGAAAAAGCCAACAGUCCAGACCAUACAGACAAGGAAAGUGGAGACCCAGCUGUGGUUGCCUGUCUCUGAUUUUGAGAGUUUCAAGGAGGCCGCGGUGGAGCUCCAAGGCGGGCUGGCUGCUGGCCGCUGCGGGACCCAGCUCAGCAGGGGUGGGGACCGGCCUGCCGCUUCCUCCUGUGGGAGCCCAGGGUCGGCUCAGCCCCCUCCCGGGCCUCAGAGGAGUCUUCCUGGGUGUUCUCUAUGGCCCCUCCUUGCAGUAAAUGGGUGAGGCAGGGCAAAGUUCUGGCUGCUAGAGAGAAGAGAACAGCACAGAACCCGCAUUCAGCGGAGAGAUGCGACCGAUGCAGGCCCCAGAGGGCGCGGGGUGGGAGAGCUGGGGCCUCGGCGGGGACACCCAGCUCUGCCCAGCCUUGCGUGUACGCGGGGCUCCGUGGGGAUGUCCAGUACCGGCCGCGGGGCCACCUCAGAGGCAGCGCUCGCCUAGCGGCGGCGGCGCAACCUAGAAGGCCCCGGGCCCCGGCUGCUUCUCUCCACGCGGACGGGGGCCGUGCGGGUGCUCCUAGUCUCAUAAAUUUGCUUCCCCCUCCCUUUAACCCGCCCCCUGGCCGUCUUUCUUCCCCGGACAGGAGGGGAUGUAAACCGUUUGAAGUUCAUCAGCACGGUGAAGUUUUAUUGUAUUUCCGGUCCCCAAGAUUUAUACCCGGGAGGGGGCGCGGGAGGCCUAGCGGACUCCCUCGUUACCUCGGACUUCCGUGUCGGACACGUGGACACUCGCCUCCCGGGCGAGGGAGGGAGGGAGCCGGCGGGACCCGGACAGGAACGCGGGCUCGGCACCUUGUGACUGCCACCGCCGCCCAGCUGGAGUUGAACUCCAAUUUGGACUAGCAGAGCUUUCUGGCAAGUUGGCUGAGGUGGGACCUACUGCUUGCAGCACCCACGGGCUCACCUGGAUGGAGGUGAGCCGGGGUGCAGACUCCAGGGCUUGGGAGUCAUUGUGUUCCCUCUGAACCCACCAAGGCCUCCCCAAACUGCCAUUUUGAAGUUGUCCCCACUGUCCAGCUUCUUUGAGAGCCAACGCCUGAGCCCUAGUCUCAGUAAAGAGACCUGGGGCCUCUCACCCAGCUCCCAGCAGCCGCCGGGGAUUGGGGGUGAUUUCCCCAGGCAGCAUCAACCCCCAGAUCUGGACUGUGCUGGGACGCAGAGCACAAGCAGCCAGGAGCCGCACUGUUCUUCCUCUCACUUCUUUUCUCAACUAAGUGGCCCUCCUGCCUCCUCUUCGCUCACUAGCAAAAGGCAGGGCUGGCGAAUGGGAACCAGGAGGGCGGCCGUCAGAGCCCAGUGCCUGCACAGCUCGGGCCAUAAGAGCAGCCCAGCCCUCUGACUUCUCCAUAAAUAAAACAGCCCUAGCCCCCAGUCCACAUGUCCUUUUGGGCCCUAAUUUAUAUACUACAGAAAAUCAUAUACUCGGGCCGCCAUGCUUCAUAAGGCUGUUAUUUAUGGCGGGGGAGGGGAUUUUUUUUUUCCUGAAGAGUAUAUUUAUUACAGGUAAAACCGACAGCCGACUCCAUAGGCCUGGCAAAUCGGGAACAGGUGCUUUGCCUUAACUGACGCAUUUGCUCAGCGCCCCGCUCUCUGGCUGCCUGUCCGGGGAGCUGCUUCCACUUCCCCAAGUGUCCAGCCGCUACUUAGCAGAAUUUGCAUCGAAUUUUUGUUGCCCCCACUUGGGUCCUAUGGAGAAACGAAGAUCUUCACGCUGUUUGGUUCCGGAUCUGCCGGGCUGUCGCCCUCAGAGAGCGGGGGAGGAAUAGGAGGGGGCCGGCUGGGCGCCAGCAUUGAUCUUUAAAAAAUCAUUUUGAAAUCGCCAUAAUGUGAAGAAAUAUGGCGCUUCGCCCUCGUAUUUCACUCGUAAUGACACGAGAUGGCUUCAUUUGGAAAGAGAACGCGGGCGGGAGUGUGCCUGUGCGGAGGUGAUCCGCAGCCUUCCGGUGGGGCACAGGGUCCGUGGCCAAAAAAAAUAAAACCCCAAGUUAGAAUGG